UCGUUGUAGCAAUACGAUGGAAAAUUUAGUGGCGAACGGGUGCUUAACACGUGGGCAACCUGCCAGGAAGUGGGGGAUAGCUCGCCGAAAGGCGAAUUAAUACCGCAUGUGAUUAGAGAGGACAUCCUUUCGAAAUUAAAGUCGGGGCAACCUGACGCUUUUUGUGGGGCCCGCGGCCUAUCAGCUAGUUGGUGAGGUAAUGGCUCACCAAGGCUUUGACGGGUAGCUGGUCUGAGAGGACGACCAGCCACACUGGGACUGAGACACGGCCCAGACACCUACGGGUGGCAGCAGUCGAGAAUUUUUGACAAUGGGGGAAACCCUGAUCGAGCGACGCCGCGUGGAGGAUGAAGGUCUUCGGAUUGUAAACUCCUGUCAUUGGGGAACAAUGCGCAAAUAUUAACUGUAUUUGUGUUGAUAGUACCCGAAGAGGAAGAGACGGCUAACUCUGUGCCAGCAGCCGCGGUAAUACAGAGGUCUCAAGCGUUGUUCGGAUUCAUUGGGCGUAAAGGGUGCGUAGGCGGCGCGGUAAGUCGGGUGUGAAAUCUCGGAGCUUACUCCGAAACUGCAUUCGAUACUGCCGUGCUUGAGGACUGGAGAGGAGACUGGAAUUCUUCGUGUAUCAA
RNAcentral lists this ribosomal RNA (626 nucleotides) under uncultured Verrucomicrobiota bacterium. Its description in RNAcentral is "bacterial SSU rRNA". It matches the Rfam family "Bacterial small subunit ribosomal RNA", at positions 71 to 681 of the family's 1533-position model. The record is from RNAcentral. Lineage: Bacteria; Pseudomonadati; Verrucomicrobiota.